Long non-coding RNA from Scatophagus argus, 659 nucleotides. RefSeq lists it as uncharacterized. NCBI's taxonomy places the organism in Eukaryota, Metazoa, Chordata, Actinopteri, Scatophagidae. The transcript is spliced from 3 exons. The record is from RefSeq and is a predicted model, not a curated record.
CGCAGCCGGCCAACCUCCAAGACACCUUCGUGGUUCACACUGUCUAAGUCGUCGUAGCUCUUCACCACCUGUCAACAAUCAAUCAGUCAGUCAAUCAAGCAAUCAAUCAAUCCAGUCCCUGUGUGUCAUAACCUGUCACAGUCAGUCAAAGUAAUAGAUGCGUCUACCUUGUUGGUGAUCAGAGAGAGACCAAAGACUCUCAGACCACAGUGAGUUGCCACGACGACCUCAGGAGCGGUACUCAUACCUACAGAGACAGUCACAACAGUACUGCUGAUACUAAUGAGGAUACUGUGAAUAUUACUGCUUGUGUCACACGUCCACCCCGAGUCGAUGCAACAGUCUGGCCUCAGCAAUGCUUUCAAAGUUGGGUCCACCCACCAUGGCAUACACGCCCUCCUGCAUGAGGCCAGCCACGCCCAGCUGCUUGGCAAUCUCCAUGGCUAAGCAACGCAGUCCUUUGUCAUAGCAACCUGACAUGGCUGGGAAACGAGGCCCGAACCUGGGGUUCAGGCCGACCAAUCCAGGGAAGUUGACAUGGUCUUUGAUGAUCAUAAUGUCACCAGGCUGGAGGCCAUCGGCCAGUGACCCGGCAGCAUUGGUCACGAUCAGAGUCUCCACCCCUAAGAGCUUGAAGACUCGGACUGGAAACGUUGUCU